Molecule: ribosomal RNA, 478 nt
Filed under: uncultured bacterium
Lineage: Bacteria
Description: partial 16S ribosomal RNA
Rfam family: Bacterial small subunit ribosomal RNA
Source: RNAcentral
GACGAACGCUGGCGGCGUGCUUAACACAUGCAAGUCGAACGGUAAGGCCCUUCGGGGUACACGAGUGGCGAACGGGUGAGUAACACGUGGGUGGUCUGCCCUGCACUUCGGGAUAAGCCUGGGAAACUGGGUCUAAUACCGGAUAGGACCACUGCCUGCAUGGGUGGUGGUGGAAAGCUUCUGCGGUGUGGGAUGGGCCCGCGGCCUAUCAGCUUGUUGGUGGGGUGAUGGCCUACCAAGGCGACGACGGGUAGCCGGCCUGAGAGGGUGACCGGCCACACUGGGACGGAGAUACGGCCCAGACUCCUACGGGAGGCAGCAGUGGGGAAUAGUGCACAAUGGGCGCAAGCCUGAUGCAGCGACGCCGCGUGAGGGAUGACGGCCUUCGGGUUGUAAACCUCUUUCAGCACCGACGAAGCGCAAGUGACGGUAGGUGCAGAAGAAGGACCGGCCAACUACGUGCCAGCCGCCGCAGUAA